This 480-nucleotide ribosomal RNA is filed under the name uncultured bacterium. RNAcentral describes it as "partial 16S ribosomal RNA". It matches the Rfam family "Bacterial small subunit ribosomal RNA", at positions 28 to 507 of the family's 1533-position model. The record is from RNAcentral.
GAUGAACGCUGGCGGCGUGCUUAACACAUGCAAGUCGAACGAAGCAUUUGCGACAGAUUUUUUCGGAAUGAAGUUGCUUAUGACUGAGUGGCGGACGGGUGAGUAACGCGUGGGUAACCUGCCUUGUACUGGGGGAUAGCAGCUGGAAACGGCUGGUAAUACCGCAUAAGCGCACAAUGUUGCAUGACAUGGUGUGAAAAACUCCGGUGGUAUAAGAUGGACCUGCGUCUGAUUAGCUAGUUGGUGAGAUAACAGCCCACCAAGGCGACGAUCAGUAGCCGACCUGAGAGGGUGACCGGCCACAUUGGGACUGAGACACGACCCAGACUCCUACGGGAGGCAGCAGUGGGGAAUAUUGCACAAUGGAGGAAACUCUGAUGCAGCGACGCCGCGUGAGUGAAGAAGUAAUUCGUUAUGUAAAGCUCUAUCAGCAGGGAAGAUAGUGACGGUACCUGACUAGAAGCUCCGGCUAAAUACGUG